GGAGGCAGCAGUAGGGAAUCUUCCGCAAUGGGCGAAAGCCUGACGGAGCGACGCCGCGUGAGCGAGGAAGGCCUUCGGGUCGUAAAGCUCUGUUGUCAGGGAAGAAGGCGCGCCGUUCGAAGAGGGCGGCGCGGUGACGGUACCUGACGAGGAAGCCCCGGCUAACUACGUGCCAGCAGCCGCGGUAA
RNAcentral lists this ribosomal RNA (188 nucleotides) under uncultured Bacillota bacterium. RNAcentral's name for it is "uncultured Firmicutes bacterium partial 16S ribosomal RNA". It matches the Rfam family "Bacterial small subunit ribosomal RNA", at positions 344 to 523 of the family's 1533-position model. Lineage: Bacteria; Bacillati; Bacillota. The record is from RNAcentral.